Molecule: non-coding RNA, 770 nt
Organism: Odocoileus virginianus texanus
Lineage: Eukaryota; Metazoa; Chordata; Mammalia; Artiodactyla; Cervidae
Source: RefSeq, a predicted model, not a curated record
CAUGAGACAGCUCCACGUAUGUGACAGGGCCUGAGUCCACCACUGUCACACUACUGUGUGUGAGCAGGGCAGUGGCUCCCAAAUCCUGUGGCCUUGUCUUCUGGGGCCCCAGGCCUUCAAGAGGCCUCCUCAGGCAGACCCUGCAGGUUCCAGCCAAACGUGAGGCUUUAACAGCAGAGCAUAAGCAAGGACAUCUUCUGACGGGCCUUUGGUUGAGUGUGGAUGUGGACAGACCCUGACCCUGGGAGGCUUCAUGACGAUGAGGAAGAGAAGACCCACAAAGCUUCCUGAAUCCUGUCCUGCAGGAAGAGUCCACUCCAGCUGUAUAAGAAGAGAGUGAAGAGAUCCUUUUUCCGCUCACUGGUCCUACCAGCAUAACUUUAGCAAGAAGAUUGCACCAGGAAUUUCCUAUGGACGUAAAUCACUGUUUGAGGUGUUAAAGUGAGUAAUUAGGUCAUUUAGCAGAAAUGCACUGACAUGUAGUGAGACUGUUGAGACCCACGGGGAAGACAGAUUAAUGUGGCAAACUGCUUCCAACCUCAGUGCAAAGGAAGCGGAAGUAGAAUCCUUAUUAUCUGGGAGAAACGAUGUUCCCCUUCGUUCAUCGUCCUUAAAAUAAGACAAAUCCAGAUGUAACCGCCCUUAUUUACAGCAAGCUGACGACUCCGCUUGUCAAAUUCAGUUGAAUGUCUAAAGUAGCUCAACGUUAAUCCAUCCCUCCCCCCGAGGCCCGUAAGAACCAGAUCACGGGUCUACAUAAUAAAUUCUCU